AUACGGAGGAUCCAAGCGUUAUCCGGAAUCAUUGGGUUUAAAGGGUCCGUAGGCGGGCUAUUAAGUCAGAGGUGAAAGUUUGCGGCUCAACCGUAAAAUUGCCUUUGAUACUGGUAGUCUUGAAUUAAUAUGAAGUGGUUGGAAUGUGUAGUGUAGCGGUGAAAUGCAUAGAUAUUACACAGAACACCAAUUGCGAAGGCAGAUCACUAAUAUUAUAUUGACGCUGAGGGACGAAAGCGUGGGUAGCGAACAGGAUUAGAUACCCUGGUAGUCCACGCCGUAAAACGAUCAUCACUCGCUGUUGGCGAUAUACUGUCAGCGGCCAAGCGAAAGUAUUAAGUGAUGCACCUGGGGAGUACGCCGGCAACGGUGAAAACUCAAAAGGAAUUGACGGGGGCCCGCACAAGCGGUGGAGCAUGUGGUUUAAAUUCGAAUGAUACGCGAGGAACCUUACCAGGGCUUAAAAUGUAAAGUUGCAUUAGUUAGAGAUAACUAUUUCUUCGGACCACUUACAAGGUGC
RNAcentral lists this ribosomal RNA (520 nucleotides) under uncultured Flavobacteriaceae bacterium. RNAcentral describes it as "bacterial SSU rRNA". It matches the Rfam family "Bacterial small subunit ribosomal RNA", at positions 523 to 1041 of the family's 1533-position model. The record is from RNAcentral. Lineage: Bacteria; Pseudomonadati; Bacteroidota; Flavobacteriia; Flavobacteriales; Flavobacteriaceae.